Molecule: long non-coding RNA, 3173 nt
Filed under: Monomorium pharaonis (pharaoh ant)
Lineage: Eukaryota; Metazoa; Arthropoda; Insecta; Hymenoptera; Formicidae
Description: uncharacterized LOC118644371
Source: RNAcentral
GUUUAUUUUUACUAUGUAUAUAUCAAUUUGUUUGAAGUCAAUUUAAUUAUAGGAUUUAAAUAAUAAUAUUUCAUUCUAUAACGCGCGCGUGUGCAUACUUUUUCUCUCAUUCAAACGAGAUUAAUUGUUAUUUUAGAUUAAUGUUUAAUACAUUUAUGGAAAUCACUUUUAAAAUGCAAAAUAUUUGAUCGAGCAAACAAAUAUAUGUGAUGUAAUUUUGUUUUAUAAAAUAUUGAAUAUUUCUAGACGAUAAGUAGUCUGUGUUUAUCGUUGUCCUUGUUAUUUCCAAAUCUUUAAGCGCGGACUAAUUAUAAUUAUGUGAAUUGUUAAUUGUAAAAUGUUGGUUGGAAAUUAUAAUUUAUUUCCAAUGACAUUGCGUUUUAAUAUGUGAAGUGACACGCACUACCACUACUUAUUCGUUCAAAUAUCGGUGAGCAAAUAAGAUCAUGUUUUAUAAACACAAAGUGCCAUAAUAAUUCUAAUUCUUAUUGAUAUCUUGCUUAUAGCUUUGAUACUUAUUGCGAUGUACAACUUACUUUUACAAAAGAUCUUUACACUAUUAUUCACCCAUUAACACUCGAGCAAAAAAAUAGCAGUGCGUAUUUCUCUACUAUUAAAAUACGAUCACGCUAGAAAGUAAGAACGAUUACUCCUUAUGAAUAUUUUGUGGUUAAUAAUUUAAAUAUAAUCAGCUUUUGAGCUUAAGAAUUCGUAAGUGUAGAUAACGAUUAUGUCACGAUUGAUGUUUUAUUCCUACACUUGAAAUAAGAAUCGAUAUAUAAUUAGAACUAUAAAUUUCUUGUUUCGUGAUAGUCUCGAGUAAUGAAUAUUUUUUAAAAGGCUGUUUAACCUUGCAGAGCUAACGUCAAAUCUGAAACAUACGUACUGACGCUGGAUCUGUGAAAUCUACUUAAUUUAUGUUGACUAACAGGUACUAAUUAAUUUCAAUUCAAGAAACCAAAAAGAUAUAACUUAUAUAAAAGGGAAUGAAUAUUAACAAGGUCCCCAACAAUUUUCACCGUUUUCAAUGAAGUUUUGUGAGCAUUUCAUUCAUACUUUUAUACCAUUUACUUUACAAAACAAUAGAACCCAAUUAUUUAGGUGUUUCAAGAAAAUUAAGAUAAACGUUUUCAUAGCAAUACAUUAAGCCAUUAAGGUUUAUGACUAAUGAGCAGCAAGAGUAGGAAAAAAAGUUGGAUAGAAUCAAAAAUAAAAUAAUAUUUUUUAAGUAAAAAUUACACAUUGCAAAAAUACAUUGUGAUAAACAAGUUAUUAAAGAUUUAUCAGAGAAAAAUUACAUCAUCUGAUUCUACGGAAAAAGUUACUAACGGAAGACAUAUAACUUUUUUAUAAAUUGUUUUUGUUUAUAGAGAAAAAAGUUAAUGUUAGGAAAAUUUUUAGCGCUAUUUUUUCGAGAAUGCUUCAAAAUUAAUUCUAUGAAUUUGCAUCGCAUGAGUGAAUACUACAUACAUAAUAUAAAAUUUCGUUAAAGUCGAUAAUGACAGACUGCCGGGUUCCUUUGUAAAUUUAUUUUAAUAACAAUCGUUAAAGAUUUGUAAUUGAGGCAUAGUCUACAAUGAAGAUUUAAGCUUUAAAUUUAAACCAUAAGAAAUUGACCGAUCACAGUCGAUUUUUAUAAAAAUACUCACUUGUGAUUAGACAAUUUCUUACGGCUUAAAGCUUAAGUCUUUAUUGUAGACUACGCCUUACUGUAUAGCCAGUAGACGUAUCAUCAGUUUUGGAGGAUUAAAUUUAAAAUACUUUUUUUUGUCGGUUUAAUCCUAAUUAACUUCGGUGUAUUUAUCUUGUUUAUAUUCGCACAAUAAAAGUUGGCAAAUAACAUCGCGAGCCGCUCGAUCUGUAUUUUGUCAUUAGUUCUUUCAAAACGAAAGCUUGAGAUAAGAGUAAUUGUUAGAAGAAAACGUGAUUUCUCCUUGCAAAUAGUUAGCAAUAAUUAACCUUCAAUUAUUUAAUUUUUACAAUAAAACGUCUUAUAUUAACUUUGAACCAAUAAACGAUUUAAAAAGCAGUAAUUCAAAUAAUUCAACGCGUAUCGCAGCUUCGUGCAAUCGUACCUCUCUCUUAUUCUCUUCUGUCACAAUGAAGUAUGUGCGCGUCGUCGAUGAUUGACAUCGAGAGUCCCGUUUACAUUAUCACGUGAACAUCAUCGUAUUUUGUUUAUUAAUGCUAGUGUGCGCGUGAUAGUAAGGUCAGCGCGUUGACCGUGUUUUCAUGAAUGAAUAAAUUUUGCGAUCCAGCAAGGAAACCUGAGAGCUGGAAAAGAUUUGGGAGAUUAGGCAACGGCAAAGCAUGAGUAAAUAAAUUUAUUAUUUUAUAAUAAUAAUAAUUAUUGUUAUUAUGACAUGCGCCUUUAAUUAGCGUUUUAAACAUUAUUAAUGUAUCUCAAUGAUUAAAGUGCUAAGACACUCGUCCGGGAAGAUUUUUGUUUCAAUCCCUGGCUGUGGUGUUAUCGCAAUAAAUUUACAAUAUUUAGGGAAGGAAUUAGGGUGAGGAAAGAACGCUUGUUAAAACACACACAUUAUUAUUAUGACAUUGAUUAUUAAUUUAAUAUCGCGCAAUAUUAUAAUUUUUGUUUAACUUAUAACUAUAUUUCAAGACCAAAAAUUUAUUCGGCGUUUAGUUUGAUAAACCUGAAGUAAUAUAUAAAAUCACAUAUAAAAAAUCAUACAAGAAAUAUUAGCACGAAAAAAUUUAGCUAUGACCGAAUAAGCUUGGCCUAUUUUUAAUUAGUUUUAUUUUCACAUAUCAGUAAUAUUUUCUUUUUAUAUUUAUUAUUUAUUAUUUUAUUUAUUAAUUGUACAAAGAAAUUAUUAAUAAUAAUUUAAUGCAAUAGUUGUUUUUUUAAUAUCUAUUAUUUUUGGUAUUAUUUUAAUUUGAAUAUAAUUUUUAUAUUUUGCAGUUCAAAGCGAUUUGCAACACGGCUCUUCCAAUUCCGCUGAUGUACAUCGUAUUGGAGAUGAACAAUUGUAUACGUGCAUCAAGUUGACGGCAUAAGAAUAAGAUUGAUAGAUGUGAUAUCAUGAUCCAUUGCCUGAAAAUGGAUAAAGUAAUGAUAGCUAGAUAAAGACUAAGAUUAUAAAAAUGUUGAUAAGCAUAAUAUGUACUUCAAAUCAUCUAGUUUAUUAUUCAUAUAAGGAUAUCGACAGCUCAAA